Small nucleolar RNA from Callithrix jacchus (white-tufted-ear marmoset), 162 nucleotides. NCBI's taxonomy places the organism in Eukaryota, Metazoa, Chordata, Mammalia, Primates, Cebidae. The record is from Ensembl.
CCUCAUUUUCUUGGCGGGAACUGGUCUUGUAGUCCCACUCCCCAUUAUGUACAGAAGCAAAGGGAAAAGCUCCAGCCCCUACACGCCCCACCCCCGGCAUCAUGUCUUCGGUGCCAUGCAGCUUCCCGUCUGCCAGUUCUAUCCUCAAGCACCACGACACCA